RNAcentral lists this ribosomal RNA (460 nucleotides) under uncultured bacterium. Its description in RNAcentral is "partial 16S ribosomal RNA". It matches the Rfam family "Bacterial small subunit ribosomal RNA", at positions 338 to 795 of the family's 1533-position model. The record is from RNAcentral.
CCUACGGGAGGCAGCAGUGAGGAAUAUUGGUCAAUGGACGAGAGUCUGAACCAGCCAAGUAGCGUGAAGGAUGACUGCCCUAUGGGUUGUAAACUUCUUUUAUAUGGGAAUAAAAUGUUCCACGUGUGGGAUUUUGUAUGUACCAUAUGAAUAAGGAUCGGCUAACUCCGUGCCAGCAGCCGCGGUAAUACGGAGGAUCCGAGCGUUAUCCGGAUUUAUUGGGUUUAAAGGGAGCGUAGGUGGAUUGUUAAGUCAGUUGUGAAAGUUUGCGGCUCAACCGUAAAAUUGCAGUUGAAACUGGCAGUCUUGAGUAUAGUAGAGGUGGGCGGAAUUCGUGGUGUAGCGGUGAAAUGCUUAGAUAUCACGAAGAACUCCGAUUGCGAAGGCAGUUCACUGGACUGCAACUGACACUGAGGCUCGAAAGUGUGGGUAUCAAACAGGAUUAGAUACCCGAGUAGUC